Molecule: long non-coding RNA, 1005 nt
Filed under: Carica papaya (papaya)
Lineage: Eukaryota; Viridiplantae; Streptophyta; Magnoliopsida; Brassicales; Caricaceae
Description: long non-coding RNA (CPAP_LNC001891)
Source: RNAcentral
UACAAGCAAAUAAUCAGUUAAAUAAGACAAAUAAAUAAGUAACCGGUUCUAGUUCUAUUAAUAACCUGUAAUUAUUUUCAAAAUUUUUUAAAUUUCACAUAAUACCAUAUUAUUAAUUUUUAAAUUUCAAUUUCAUAACAGGGAAUAAGAUGAGGGAUUCUUAUCCGAAUUGAUGUAUGAAACAUCGUAUUUUCUACCGCACUUCUUGACGGUCCUUUGAUUGCCUGAAUUUUCCUGUGGAGAUUAAACACACUCCACAUACCUAAAAAAAAUACCCUAAAAACUCAAAAUCGGUAUUAAAAAUCUUUUCUGGCCUAUUUCGAAAUUCUGGCACGGUGGUGUUUUGCCUCGGUCUGGCCGUUUUCGACUGAUUUAGGCCGAUUUCGGUCGAUUUUAUAUAUAUCCCUGCGAAAAAAUACAUUGUGGAGUCUCGGUUGGCCUAAAAAAAAUAAAGAAACUGAAACCUACUGGUGGUGGAGUUUCCAGUGCGGUGGCUCUGUCAGCUCUCCUUCGCGGCUGGGAUUCCUCCUUCGGUCAACCUGCAGAAAACAGAAUGGUGAACACAACGGUAGAAAAAUUGCAAGAAACGAAAAUCAGGAAGGGGCUCAUCAGAGAGGGUUGUGGGUUUUGGGUCGCAGCGCGCCUUUCCAGCUCACUUGGCAUUCGUUUUGCUCCGAUAUGGCCACAGGGGUGCUCAUAAUCAAUUUCCGAAUAGGUAAGAGAAUUUUUACUUUUUUUGGCAGUCGAAGGUGGCUCCGGUGCGGCGAUGGUCGGCGGUCAGCUCCUUUUCUGGCAUCUAAUUCUUCUUUUCCGACGGGUGGAGGCUGGCGGUUAGGGUUCGGAUUUUGUGUGACGUGAAACAUUUAUACCAAUUCCGCGUUAAUCUGGGUCGUCCAUCGCGAUCGAUCUCGUUCAUUUGAUCACGUCUAAAAAGGAAACGAAUCUAAACCGUUCAUCGCGUUUGACCUCGACCGUUCGAUUGGCCUAAAGAAAAAUAAAUCUGAA